GGCAGUCGUGGCCUAAUGGUCAGAGCGGCAGACUUGUAAUCCAAAGGUGAACCUGAAGGUUGUGGGUUCGAGUCUCAGGUCUGGCA
This is a non-coding RNA of Pangasius djambal, 86 nucleotides long. Lineage: Eukaryota; Metazoa; Chordata; Actinopteri; Siluriformes; Pangasiidae. The record is from the annotation of a GenBank genome assembly.